This is a small nuclear RNA of Dipodomys spectabilis (banner-tailed kangaroo rat), 102 nucleotides long. Lineage: Eukaryota; Metazoa; Chordata; Mammalia; Rodentia; Heteromyidae. The record is from RefSeq and is a predicted model, not a curated record.
GCUCACUUUGUCAGCCCACUUACAAAAAUUGAACGAUACAAGAGAAUAUUAACAUGGUCCAUGUACAAAGGAUGACACACAAAUUCGUGUGUCCAUAUUUUU